Molecule: ribosomal RNA, 253 nt
Filed under: uncultured bacterium
Lineage: Bacteria
Description: partial 16S ribosomal RNA
Rfam family: Bacterial small subunit ribosomal RNA
Source: RNAcentral
UACGCAGGGGGCUAGCGUUGCUCGGAAUCACUGGGCGUAAAGGGUGCGUAGGCGGGUCUUUAAGUCAGGGGUGAAAUCCUGGAGCUCAACUCCAGAACUGCCUUUGAUACUGAGGAUCUUGAGUUCGGGAGAGGUGAGUGGAACUGCGAGUGUAGAGGUGAAAUUCGUAGAUAUUGGGAAGAACACCGGUGGCGAAGGCGGCUCACUGGCUCGUUUCUGACGCUCAGGCGCGACAGCGUGGGGAUCAAACAGG